GGUAGUGGUGGCACAGUGGUUAAGGCAUCAGGCUAAUGAGCAGAAUGUCAUGAGUUCAAAUCCCAGUGUGACCA
Non-coding RNA from Pangasius djambal, 74 nucleotides. NCBI's taxonomy places the organism in Eukaryota, Metazoa, Chordata, Actinopteri, Siluriformes, Pangasiidae. The record is from the annotation of a GenBank genome assembly.